This 1255-nucleotide long non-coding RNA is filed under the name Triticum aestivum (bread wheat). RNAcentral describes it as "long non-coding RNA (TAES_LNC026559)". The record is from RNAcentral. Lineage: Eukaryota; Viridiplantae; Streptophyta; Magnoliopsida; Poales; Poaceae.
UACAGCCCAAGAUUUCGGGCUUAUAGAAAAACGAGCUUAUAGGCGUUUUUCCACAAACGCGGUUGCUAUAUGCGUGAUCGCAACAACUUUUUCCCGCCCGCUCGCUUCUCAACAACUUUUCUGGCGCCAGUUCUGCGUUUUGCUGCUCGCCCUCGCGCCUUUUUCAUUGCUUAUAUACAGGCCCCAUCGCUAAUAAAACUGGCUGGCCGUCAAUUCCAUUCACAUGCGCUGGCUGGGAGACGCUGGCGCUGGUUCUCAGCGGCUUCUUCAUCAGGCGGUUCUCAUCAUCUUCCCAUCUUCAAUCAAGUUGCACGACCCUGGUAAGAUCAAUCAUCCUGUCAAUAUAAGUUGUAGUCGAUGUACAUAUUUCAUGAUAUUGUCCAUUGAUCAAUCAUCCAGAUCAACAAAUUAGUCCAUAUAAGUUGUAGAUGUACAAAUUUCAUGGUAUUGUUCAUCAAUCAAUCAUCUUGAUCAACAAAUUGGUCCAUAUGAGUUGUAGAUGUACAGAGUUCAUGGUAAUGUUCAUCGAUCAAUCAUCCUGAUCAACAAAUUCGUACGUAUAAGUUGUAGAUCUACAAAUUCAUGGUAUUGUUCAUCGAUUCAUUUUUUGGUAAUGAAGCUCAUUUUGCAGAAAGAAAAAAAACUCCGGUAAUCUGAGAUAGCCAAUUCGUAGAUGAAACUAGAACCACCAACUUGGCAAUUUGUCCCCUCCUCUCUCAAAUUGGAAACACGGAAACACACCUCUGUUUGAUUAUAAAAGAAACCCACUACACUAGUUACUUGCUGCUGUACAUGGAAACCAGGUAAACGCCAGAUAUGAAAAAAGAGUAAAUGGCACGCUAACUCUAAUUAUAUAUUUAUAUGGUAUUAAUAGGCAGUAGGCCAAUCUGAACUGCGCGAUAUAAGUAUGUAUGUUUGUGUUGUAGUCUAAAUUGUAUACACAUGUAUCAUAGUCUAGUAUGUAGGCCAAUCGUGUACUCCUGGAUAUAAGGGGCCCUCAAAUUUAAAUUCAACAUGCACAUGCAGCUUUACCUCUAUAAAAACAAAUGGUAAGCCAACAGUAGAUCACUGAAAUACAAGCCAUCAGUUCCUUUGUCGACCUGCAUUGUGAAAAGAACAUAGGAAUACACGUAGAAAUCAAACAAUUAGUAGUAAGUGUUGUCAUAGGUAAAACAUUAAAGAUUAGCUCAGUCCUAGACCCCCAUUGGUCUACUGCAAUCAGAAGAAUACACGCCAAGAGAUCACAUGAAUGCAG